Molecule: ribosomal RNA, 449 nt
Filed under: uncultured bacterium
Lineage: Bacteria
Description: partial 16S ribosomal RNA
Rfam family: Bacterial small subunit ribosomal RNA
Source: RNAcentral
UGAACGCUGGCGGCGUGCCUAACACAUGCAAGUCGAGCGGCAGCGAGGGGUGCUUGCACCCUGUCGGCGAGCGGCGGACGGCUGAGUAACGCGUGGGAACGUGCCCCAAAGUGAGGAAUAACUGCCCGAAAGGGUAGCUAAUACCGCAUAUUAUCUUCGGAUCAAAGGAUUUAUCCGCUUUGGGAGCGGCUCGCGUCGGAUUAGGUAGUUGGUGAGGUAAUGGCUCACCAAGCCGACGAUCCGUAGCUGGUCUGAGAGGAUGACCAGCCAGACUGGAACUGAGACACGGUCCAGACUCCUACGGGAGGCAGCAGUGAGGAGUCUUCCACAAUGGGCGAAAGCCUGAUGGAGCAACGCCGCGUGCAGGACGAAGGCCUUCGGGUUGUAAACUGCUUUUAUAAGUGAGGAAUAUGACGGUAACUUAUGAAUAAGGAUCGGCUAACUACGUG